RNA transcript from Cryptomeria japonica (Japanese cedar), 1578 nucleotides. RefSeq lists it as uncharacterized. The transcript has 4 exons. The record is from RefSeq and is a predicted model, not a curated record. NCBI's taxonomy places the organism in Eukaryota, Viridiplantae, Streptophyta, Pinopsida, Cupressales, Cupressaceae.
AGAAAUCAAUCCAACGCUUUAUUUUAUUUUCUAUGACGCCAAAAACGGUGGAUGGCAGUAAAGAAAAAUGGAGGGAGGAAUCCAAGCCCUAACCCUAAUAAUUUUUAAUAAAGCCCUGUAAUCCCCAUGCCGUUUGCUUUGUGCAGCGUACGCUCAUUAUGUAAAUGUCCCCAAAUGCAGAAAAAGUAUGAGUGAUGAAUUUAUUUGGAAGCCAUUGUUUCUUAGAAUGGUCGGAAUUGGAAAGAGAACAUACUGGUUGACAAAUGCUCUGCUAUACUGGAAGGUGGUUUUGCUGUUUUUGGAGGCAUUUGAUGCGGCCUAUGGAUAUAGUAACCAUAAUCCUACUACUGAGGAAGUACCAUCUUCUAUUAACAUUUGAAGAGGAAAAUGUCCCAAAAUGCAGCAAGCAGGUCAGAGUUCUUCAAAUCGGUCCACACUUAGAAUCGGCUCAUGUAGAGAGGAUGGCUCCAACAAAGAAGUAAAAGUGAGAGAAGAAUCAAUUUUUGUAGGUCAUAUUGCAGAGGACUUUUUGAACAUAGUAAUUUUGCGAACUUCUUUUUCAUACUGUGUUCCAAGUUCAAAGUUCAAAUCGUUUGUACUUAAUUGAAAUCUAUUAUUUCUAUCUCUGUCCUUUUUCACAAUCUGUGGGAGCAAAGCAAUAUGCAAAUAUGACUGGUGAUGGAUCUUUAUGAUGAAACAAGUGACUCUUCUAAUGGGGAGCAAAGCAAUAUGGAAAUAUGGCCGGUGAUGGAUCUUUAUGAUGAAACAAGUGAGUCUCUUAAUGGAUUUGGUCUCUUUGAUGUGUACAAGAAGAUGUUUAAUGAUGAGUGGAUAUGCAGUAACUCACAAUAGUUUCUCAGAGCUGGAGAUGGGGUUCUGAACCCUUCGAGUGAUCGAUCCACUGACUAUGCAGUCCCAUUGACUUAAGAUGCAAAGAUUUUGUUUUACAUGAAAAGAUGUCAUGAUGAUGUGGAUGUGCACCUCAAGUUUGAUCCAGAUGGAAAGACAUAUCAAGUAACUGUUAUAGUUGCAAAUCCUUAUUUUUUUGAAAGACAAAUUUAUUGUUUUGAUUUAUAGAUCUGCAGAGCAGAGAUGGGAAAUUAGAGAAAUUGACUUGGGUCUGGUGACAAUGGAAAAUUAGAGUUUAAGACAAACAUAGCAGAUUUUUAUAACAGAUUAAAAGGUUUUAAGCAAAUGCAAUUGGUGGCUGGGCAAUCUUUAUCAACGUUUCUCCUAGCUUGUGCUACAGUGAGAGCUUUCAAGAGAGAUAUAUAUGCAAAAUAUGAAAGCAUAGACUAUACAAGUAAAAUGUUUGAUGAAAUUGCCCAUUGAAAAGUAAUCUUUGGAAAUUUGAUGAUUGUAUCAAAUAGUUGAAGUAGGAAGAUUAGGGAGAAUUUGAUCAUUGCUGAUUCAUUUGUUACAUACGAGGCUUUUCCUUCCAGCCUUCUCAUCAGACUGUUUCAUUAGAUUGAACAAACACAAUUUUUAAUAAGCUAAACCAGCAUACAAUAAAUCUUAAUGUGGCUUUGAAUUAUGUGUAGUUUGAUGAUGAGUUUUAUAUGAUGUGUUAUUGAUCAA